UACGAAGGGGGCUAGCGUUGCUCGGAAUCACUGGGCGUAAAGCGCACGUAGGCGGACUCUUAAGUCGGUGGUGAAAUCCUGGAGCUCAACUCCAGAACUGCCUUCGAUACUGGGAGUCUCGAGUCCGAGAGAGGUGAGUGGAACUGCGAGUGUAGAGGUGAAAUUCGUAGAUAUUCGCAAGAACACCAGUGGCGAAGGCGGCUCACUGGCGCGGUACUGACGCUGAGGUGCGAAAGCGUGGGGAGCAAACAGG
This 253-nucleotide ribosomal RNA is filed under the name uncultured bacterium. RNAcentral describes it as "partial 16S ribosomal RNA". It matches the Rfam family "Bacterial small subunit ribosomal RNA", at positions 524 to 776 of the family's 1533-position model. The record is from RNAcentral.